RNAcentral lists this ribosomal RNA (253 nucleotides) under uncultured bacterium. RNAcentral's name for it is "partial 16S ribosomal RNA". It matches the Rfam family "Bacterial small subunit ribosomal RNA", at positions 524 to 776 of the family's 1533-position model. The record is from RNAcentral.
UACGGAGGGUGCGAGCGUUGUUCGGAAUCACUGGGCGUAAAGCGCGUGUAGGCGGCCUGCUAAGUCUGAUGUGAAAGCCCGAGGCUCACCCUCGGAAGUGCAUUGGAAACUGGCAGACUGGAGUCCCGGAGAGGAGGGUGGAAUUCCUGGUGUAGCGGUGAAAUGCGUAGAUAUCAGGAGGAACACCGGUGGCGAAGGCGGCCCUCUGGACGGUGACUGACGCUGAGACGCGAAGGCCAGGGGAGCAAACGGG